Small nucleolar RNA from Salarias fasciatus (jewelled blenny), 89 nucleotides. The record is from Ensembl. Lineage: Eukaryota; Metazoa; Chordata; Actinopteri; Blenniiformes; Blenniidae.
AGCCAGUGAUGACAGACUAAAAACACUUUUCUGACACCUACUAUGAGAGCUGAACUCCAGCCCCUGAUUCUGACUUUAUUCUGAGGCUU